Molecule: transfer RNA, 65 nt
Filed under: Bactrocera bryoniae
Lineage: Eukaryota; Metazoa; Arthropoda; Insecta; Diptera; Tephritidae
Description: tRNA-Thr
Rfam family: tRNA
About the family: Transfer RNA (tRNA) molecules are approximately 80 nucleotides in length. Their secondary structure includes four short double-helical elements and three loops (D, anti-codon, and T loops).
Source: RNAcentral
GUUUUAAUAGUUUAAUAAAAACAUUGGUCUUGUAAACCAAAAUUAAGACUCUGUCUUUUAAAACU